AUUGAACGCUGGCGGAAUGCUUUACACAUGCAAGUCGAACGGCAGCACGGACUUCGGUCUGGUGGCGAGUGGCGAACGGGUGAGUGAUACAUCGGAUCGCGUCCUGUAAUGGGGGAUAACCUGGCGAAAGCCAGGCUAAUACCGCAUACGUCCUGAGGGAGAAAGCGGGGGAUCGCAAGACCUCGCGUUAUAGGAGCGGCCGAUGUCGGAUUAGCUAGUUGUGGGGUAAAGGCCUACCAAGGCGACGAUCUGUAGCGGGUCUGAGAGGACGGCCCGCCACACUGGGACUGAGACACGGCCCAGACU
This 306-nucleotide ribosomal RNA is filed under the name uncultured bacterium. Its description in RNAcentral is "bacterial SSU rRNA". It matches the Rfam family "Bacterial small subunit ribosomal RNA", at positions 30 to 337 of the family's 1533-position model. The record is from RNAcentral.